Unclassified non-coding RNA from Pongo abelii (Sumatran orangutan), 148 nucleotides. It matches the Rfam family "Metazoan signal recognition particle RNA". Rfam says of the family: The signal recognition particle (SRP) is a universally conserved ribonucleoprotein. It is involved in the co-translational targeting of proteins to membranes. Lineage: Eukaryota; Metazoa; Chordata; Mammalia; Primates; Hominidae. The record is from Ensembl.
GCCAGGCGUAGUGGUGCACACCUGUAGUCUCAGCUACUGAAGAGGCUGAGACAGGAGGAUGGUUUGAGCCCAGGAGGUUGAGGCUGCAGUGAGCCAGGAUCACACCACUGCACUCCAGCCUGGGCGACAGAACCAGACCCUGUCUCAA